GUAGGUGGCGAGCGUUAUCCGGAAUCAUUGGGCGUAAAGCGCGCGCAGGCGGGCUUUCAAGCGGCGGCGUCGAAGCCGGGGGCUCAACCCCCGGAAGCGCCCCGAACUGGAAGCCUCGGAUGCGGCAGGGGGAGGCGGAAUUCCCGGUGUAGCGGUGAAAUGCGCAGAUAUCGGGAAGAACACCGACGGCGAAGGCAGCCUCCUGGGCCGGCAUCGACGCUGAGGCGCGAAAGCUGGGGGAGCGAACAGGAUUAGAUACCCUGGUAGUCCACACGGUAAACGAUGAAUACUCGCCGUUUGCGAUAUACAGCAAGCGGCCAAGCGAAAGCGUUAAGUAUUCCACCUGGGGAGUACGCCGGCAACGGUGAAACUCAAAGGAUUGACGGAAACUCAGCAGCCGCGGUAAUACCAAACUCAAAGGAAUUGACG
RNAcentral lists this ribosomal RNA (429 nucleotides) under uncultured bacterium. Its description in RNAcentral is "bacterial SSU rRNA". It matches the Rfam family "Bacterial small subunit ribosomal RNA", at positions 527 to 961 of the family's 1533-position model. The record is from RNAcentral.